AGGGCACCACCAGGAGUGGAGCCUGCGGCUUAAUUUGACUCAACACGGGAAAACUCACCCGGCCCGGACACUGGAAGGAUUGACAGAUUGAGAGCUCUUUCUUGAUUCAGUGGGUGGUGGUGCAUGGCCGUUCUUAGUUGGUGGAGUGAUUUGUCUGGUUAGUUCCGAUAACGAACGAGACUCUAGCCUACUAAAUAGAUCGUCGGCUUACAAACGCCGGCGAGACUUCUUAGAGGGACAGGCGGUGAUUCAACCGCACGAAACAGAGCAAUAACAGGUCUGUGAUGCCCUUAGAUGUCCGGGGCCGCACGCGCGCUACACUGAAGUGAUCAGCGUGCUUUUUCAACCUACUCUGUCAAGAGUGGGGAACCCAAUGAACCUUCUUCGUGAUUGGGAUAGGGGAUUGUAAUUAUUCCCCUUGAACGAGGAAUUCCCAGUAAGCGCGAGUCGUAAGCUCGCGUUGAUUACGUCCCUGCCCUUUGUACACACCGCACGUCGCUACUACCGAUUGAAUGUUUU
RNAcentral lists this ribosomal RNA (519 nucleotides) under uncultured eukaryote. RNAcentral describes it as "SSU rRNA". It matches the Rfam family "Eukaryotic small subunit ribosomal RNA", at positions 1161 to 1699 of the family's 1831-position model. The record is from RNAcentral.